UGGGACAUACUGGGAGUGGCACUGGGAUGAACUGGGACAUACUGGGAGUGGCACUGGGAUGAACUGGGACUUACUGGGAUGUACCGGGGUUGUACGGGGAAGGAUUGGGGCGGGCACAAACGCGCUGUUGCCGCUUUCGCCGCCUCUCAUUGGCUGAAGCUCCCGCCCCUCACCGCCCUCAUCCAAUCAGCAGCCAGGCUCGGUGCCCGGGGGCGGAGCCUGAUGUGAUUUCAGACUACAGUUCCCGUCAUGCCCCGCGCCCCUCAGAGCCCCCGGUACCCCAAAGCCUGAGGGCCGCGACCCCCCGGGAUCCACCCGGGAUCCACCCGGGACCCUCCCCGGGACCCCCGAACGCCUCCUCGGAUCCACAGCCACCCCCAAACCACGCAGCUUUGCUCUGAGGCCGCUUUGGGGCCCGCACGGAGCGCAGACCCAAAACUGCCCCAAAAACAGGACCAAGAACUCCGAAUUUAUUUGGGCAGCGGAACUCUGAGACCCUCGGCCACGCCAUAAUUUAAUAUUUCAGUUUUCCUCCUCUUUAAAACCUUUUGUUUCAUCCUUUUGCAGAGUUCAUUCAGGCUGGGAUUUUAUCUUA
Long non-coding RNA from Cyanistes caeruleus (blue tit), 595 nucleotides. RefSeq lists it as uncharacterized. The record is from RefSeq and is a predicted model, not a curated record. NCBI's taxonomy places the organism in Eukaryota, Metazoa, Chordata, Aves, Passeriformes, Paridae.